CCCGCACAAGCGGUGAUUAUGUGGAUUAAUUCGAUGCAACGCGAAAACCUUACCUACCCUUGACAUGCUAGGAACUUGCCAGAGAUGGCUUGGUGCCCGAAAGGGAACCUAGACACAGGUGCUGCAUGGCUGUCGUCAGCUCGUGUCGUGAGAUGUUGGGUUAAGUCCCGCAACGAGCGCAACCCUUGUCAUUAGUUGCUACGAAAGGGCACUCUAAUGAGACUGCCGGUGACAAACCGGAGGAAGGUGGGGAUGACGUCAAGUCCUCAUGGCCCUUAUAGGUGGGGCUACACACGUCAUACAAUGGCUGGUACAAAGGGUUGCCAACCCGCGAGGGGGAGCCAAUCCCAUAAAGCCAGUCGUAGUCCGGAUCGCAGUCUGCAACUCGACUGCGUGAAGUCGGAAUCGCUAGUAAUCGUGGAUCAGCAUGUCACGGUGAAUACGUUCCCGGGUCUU
This 456-nucleotide ribosomal RNA is filed under the name uncultured Diaphorobacter sp. Its description in RNAcentral is "bacterial SSU rRNA". It matches the Rfam family "Bacterial small subunit ribosomal RNA", at positions 920 to 1382 of the family's 1533-position model. The record is from RNAcentral. Lineage: Bacteria; Pseudomonadati; Pseudomonadota; Betaproteobacteria; Burkholderiales; Comamonadaceae.